Molecule: ribosomal RNA, 679 nt
Filed under: Lysinibacillus sp. I11B-02127
Lineage: Bacteria; Bacillati; Bacillota; Bacilli; Caryophanales; Bacillaceae
Description: bacterial SSU rRNA
Rfam family: Bacterial small subunit ribosomal RNA
Source: RNAcentral
AGGAGCUUGCUCCUUUGACGUUAGCGGCGGACGGGUGAGUAACACGUGGGCAACCUACCCUAUAGUUUGGGAUAACUCCGGGAAACCGGGGCUAAUACCGAAUAAUCUCUUUUGCUUCAUGGUAAAAGACUGAAAGACGGUUUCGGCUGUCGCUAUAGGAUGGGCCCGCGGCGCAUUAGCUAGUUGGUGAGGUAACGGCUCACCAAGGCGACGAUGCGUAGCCGACCUGAGAGGGUGAUCGGCCACACUGGGACUGAGACACGGCCCAGACUCCUACGGGAGGCAGCAGUAGGGAAUCUUCCACAAUGGGCGAAAGCCUGAUGGAGCAACGCCGCGUGAGUGAAGAAGGUUUUCGGAUCGUAAAACUCUGUUGUAAGGGAAGAACAAGUACAGUAGUAACUGGCUGUACCUUGACGGUACCUUAUUAGAAAGCCACGGCUAACUACGUGCCAGCAGCCGCGGUAAUACGUAGGUGGCAAGCGUUGUCCGGAAUUAUUGGGCGUAAAGCGCGCGCAGGCGGUCCUUUAAGUCUGAUGUGAAAGCCCACGGCUCAACCGUGGAGGGUCAUUGGAAACUGGGGGACUUGAGUGCAGAAGAGGAAAGUGGAAUUCCAAGUGUAGCGGUGAAAUGCGUAGAGAUUUGGAGGAACACCAGUGGCGAAGGCGACUUUCUGGUCUGU